CUUGUACCUGGUGGCGAGCGGCGGACGGGUGAGUAAUGCCUAGGAAUCUGCCUGGUAGUGGGGGAUAACGCUCGGAAACGGACGCUAAUACCGCAUACGUCCUACGGGAGAAAGCAGGGGACCUUCGGGCCUUGCGCUAUCAGAUGAGCCUAGGUCGGAUUAGCUAGUUGGUGAGGUAAUGGCUCACCAAGGCGACGAUCCGUAACUGGUCUGAGAGGAUGAUCAGUCACACUGGAACUGAGACACGGUCCAGACUCCUACGGGAGGCAGCAGUGGGGAAUAUUGGACAAUGGGCGAAAGCCUGAUCCAGCCAUGCCGCGUGUGUGAAGAAGGUCUUCGGAUUGUAAAGCACUUUAAGUUGGGAGGAAGGGCAGUUACCUAAUACGUAUCUGUUUUGACGUUACCGACAGAAUAAGCACCGGCUAACUCUGUGCCAGCAGCCGCGGUAAUACAGAGGGUGCAAGCGUUAAUCGGAAUUACUGGGCGUAAAGCGCGCGUAGGUGGUUCGUUAAGUUGGAUGUGAAAUCCCCGGGCUCAACCUGGGAACUGCAUUCAAAACUGACGAGCUAGAGUAUGGUAGAGGGUGGUGGAAUUUCCUGUGUAGCGGUGAAAUGCGUAGAUAUAGGAAGGAACACCAGUGGCGAAGGCGACCACCUGGACUGAUACUGACA
Molecule: ribosomal RNA, 671 nt
Filed under: Pseudomonas sp. SA071
Lineage: Bacteria; Pseudomonadati; Pseudomonadota; Gammaproteobacteria; Pseudomonadales; Pseudomonadaceae
Description: bacterial SSU rRNA
Rfam family: Bacterial small subunit ribosomal RNA
Source: RNAcentral